Molecule: ribosomal RNA, 775 nt
Filed under: uncultured Neocallimastigales
Lineage: Eukaryota; Fungi; Neocallimastigomycota; Neocallimastigomycetes; Neocallimastigales
Description: partial large subunit ribosomal RNA
Rfam family: Eukaryotic large subunit ribosomal RNA
Source: RNAcentral
GUAGUCUCGCACAGAUGCAUAUCAAUAAGCGGAGGAAAAGAAACUAACAAGGAUUCCCCUAGUAACGGCGAGUGAAGCGGGAAGAGCUCAAAUUUGAAAUCUUAAAGGGUUUCCCUUUACGAAUUGUAGUUUAAAGAAGUGUUUUCUGUUGAGGUUUUGGUAAAAGUUCUUUGGAAUAGGACAUCAUAGAGGGUGAGAAUCCCGUAUUUGACCUUUACUUUCAACUUUGUGAUACAGCUUUCAAAGAGUCGGAUUGUUUGGGAAUGCAGUCCAAAAUGGGUGGUAAAUUUCAUCUAAAGCUAAAUAUUGGCGAGAGACCGAUAGCGAACAAGUACCGUGAGGGAAAGAUGAAAAGAACUUUGAGAAGAGAGUUAAACAGUACGUGAAAUUGUCAAAAGGGAAGCGUUUGACACCAGUGUUGUUUUUCUGAAAAUCAAUUAAAGAACUGUUUAUGCUAAGCUGUUUAGACUUUAUCAGCUAUCUGUUUAGUUUUGAGCUUUUCUUUAAUGCACUUUUCAGUUAACAAGUCAACAUCAAUUUCUUUUGCUGUAAAAAAGCUUGAGGAAGGUGGCUUGAGAUUCGUCUUAAGUGUUUAUAGCCUCUUGCCUAUGCAGUCGGAGAGAUUGAGGUCUGCAGCGUAGAUCCUUCGGGGCUAAAUGCAUUUGUGCUAAGUUAUAGCAUUUUAUAGACAACUUGUUGACUAUGAUUUGUCUUGUAGCUUACUCGCUUAUGUUAUUUUACCUACGCUUAGGAUGUUGAAGACUCUACAGAGAUA